CGGAUUGUUAAGCAAGACGUGAAAGCCCCGGGCUUAACCUGGGAAUGGCGUUUUGAACUGGCAGUCUAGAGUGCGUCAGAGGGGGGUGGAAUUCCACGUGUAGCAGUGAAAUGCGUAGAGAUGUGGAGGAACACCAAUGGCGAAGGCAGCCCCCUGGGAUGACACUGACGCUCAUGUACGAAAGCGUGGGUAGCAAACAGGAUUAGAUACCCUGGUAGUCCACGCCCUAAACGAUGUCAACUGGUUGUUGGGGGAGUGAAAUCCCUUAGUAACGAAGCUAACGCGUGAAGUUGACCGCCUGGGGAGUACGGUCGCAAGAUUAAAACUCAAAGGAAUUGACGGGGACCCGCACAAGCGGUGGAUGAUGUGGAUUAAUUCGAUGCAACGCGAAAAACCUUACCUACCCUUGACAUGUCCAGGAUCCUGCAGAGAUGCGGGAGUGCCCGAAAGGGAAUUGGAACACAGGUGCUGCAUGGCUGUCGUCAGCUCGUGUCGUGAGAUGUUGGGUUAAGUCCCGCAACGAGCGCAACCCUUAUCAUUAGUUGCUACGCAAGGGCACUCUAAUGAGACUGCCGGUGACAAACCGGAGGAAGGUGGGGAUGACGUCAAGUCCUCAUGGCCCUUAUGGGUAGGGCUUCACACGUCAUACAAUGGUCGGUACAGAGGGUUGCCAAGCCGCGAGGUGGAGCCAAUCCCAGAAAGCCGAUCGUAGUCCGGA
This 718-nucleotide ribosomal RNA is filed under the name Thiobacillus denitrificans. Its description in RNAcentral is "bacterial SSU rRNA". It matches the Rfam family "Bacterial small subunit ribosomal RNA", at positions 576 to 1297 of the family's 1533-position model. Lineage: Bacteria; Pseudomonadati; Pseudomonadota; Betaproteobacteria; Nitrosomonadales; Thiobacillaceae. The record is from RNAcentral.